Molecule: long non-coding RNA, 279 nt
Filed under: Mytilus galloprovincialis (Mediterranean mussel)
Lineage: Eukaryota; Metazoa; Mollusca; Bivalvia; Mytilida; Mytilidae
Source: RNAcentral
GUAGUUAUAUUCAGACUUCAGAAUAGCUGUCAUGUUGGUUAAUCAAGCUAUAAAUCCAGCUUAGCUUUUAUUAUAUGUCCCCUUAAAUGAUGCAAGUCUAGUUUUGUUCUUCAGUUCCUGACACUGAGUGUAAAAUGAGAAGCAGUAUAUAUUCUCUAAGAACAACAGAAAUUAUCUGUAGUACUCUGUAUCACUUAUUUUGAUGGGACUUCACCCAUAUUUUUAGAAUCAAGAAAUCAAUUCACUUUUUUUUCAUUUUAUUUUUUCUCUUGUUAUCUC